UGAUCAUGGCUCACAUUGCACGCUGGCGGCAUGCCUUACACCUCUUCGUCGAACGGCAGCACGGGUACUUGUACCUGGCGGCGAGUGGCGAACGGGUGAGUAAUACAUCGGACCGUACCUUAUCGUGGGGGAUAACGCAGCGAAAGCUGUGCUAAUACCGCAUACGAUCUCAGGAUGAAAGCAGGGGACCGCAAGGCCUUGUGCUCCUGGAGCGGCCGAUAUCUGAUUAGCUAGUUGGUGGGGUAAAGGCCCACCAAGGCAACGAUCAGUAGCUGGUCUGAGAGGACGACCAGCCACACUGGAACUGACACACGGUCCCCACUCCUACGGGAGGCAGCACUGGGGAAUUUUGGACAAUGGGGGCAACCCUGAUCCAGCAAUGCCGCGUGAGUGAAGAAGGCCUUCGGGUUGUAAAGCUCUUUUGUCAGGGAAGAAACACCGGCUCUAACACAGUCCGGGAAUGACGGUACCUGAACAAUACUCACCGGCUAACUACGUGCCAGCAGCCGCGGUACUACGUACGGUGCAAGCGUUAAUCGGAAUUACUGGGCGUCAAGCGUGCGCAUGCGGUUAUACAAGACAGGCGUGAAAUCCCCGGGCUUAACCUGGGAAUGGCGCCUGUGACUGUAUAGCUAGAGUGUGUCAGAGGGGGGUAGAAUUCCACGUGUAGCAGUGAAAUGCGUAGAUAUGUGGAGGAAUACCACUGGCGAACGCAGCCCCCUGGGAUACACUGACGCUCAUGCACGAAAGCGUGGGGAGCCAACAGGAUUAGAUACCCUGGUAGUCCCACGUCUCUAAACGAUGCUGACUAACUGUUCGGGAAUUUUCAAUCCUGAGUAACGCAGCUAACGCGUGAACUCAGCUGUCCUGGGGAGUAC
This 878-nucleotide ribosomal RNA is filed under the name uncultured bacterium. RNAcentral's name for it is "bacterial SSU rRNA". It matches the Rfam family "Bacterial small subunit ribosomal RNA", at positions 14 to 883 of the family's 1533-position model. The record is from RNAcentral.